CCUACGGGGGGCUGCAGUGGGGAAUAUUGCACAAUGGGCGCAAGCCUGAUGCAGCCAUGCCGCGUGUGUGAAGAAGGCCUUCGGGUUGUAAAGCACUUUCAGCGGGGAGGAAGGCGGUGAGGUUAAUAACCUCAUCGAUUGACGUUACCCGCAGAAGAAGCACCGGCUAACUCCGUGCCAGCAGCCGCGGUAAUACGGAGGGUGCAAGCGUUAAUCGGAAUUACUGGGCGUAAAGCGCACGCAGGCGGUCUGUCAAGUCGGAUGUGAAAUCCCCGGGCUCAACCUGGGAACUGCAUUCGAAACUGGCAGGCUAGAGUCUUGUAGAGGGGGGUAGAAUUCCAGGUGUAGCGGUGAAAUGCGUAGAGAUCUGGAGGAAUACCGGUGGCGGAGGCGGCCCCCUGGACAAAGACUGACGCUCAGGUGCGAAAGCGUGGGGAGCAAACAGGAUUAAUACCCGGGUAGUC
This 464-nucleotide ribosomal RNA is filed under the name uncultured Klebsiella sp. Its description in RNAcentral is "bacterial SSU rRNA". It matches the Rfam family "Bacterial small subunit ribosomal RNA", at positions 338 to 795 of the family's 1533-position model. The record is from RNAcentral. Lineage: Bacteria; Pseudomonadati; Pseudomonadota; Gammaproteobacteria; Enterobacterales; Enterobacteriaceae.